Molecule: long non-coding RNA, 624 nt
Organism: Eufriesea mexicana
Lineage: Eukaryota; Metazoa; Arthropoda; Insecta; Hymenoptera; Apidae
Exons: 3
Source: RefSeq, a predicted model, not a curated record
GGGGUCGGGGUGGGCGGACGACGGUGAAAGCGAAUCUGAGUCGGUAUUCGCGGGCCUAUAAAGCGAAAUUAAAAAAGGAAGAUGAAAAAGAAGAUCCAACUUAACCUCUCUGCAUGGACCUCUAGAAAAUACACGGUUAUGCCACCAACUGCGUGUAACAUUUUCGUGUUACCUUUCUAAAUAGAUUUUCUCGUCGAUGAAUAAUGCAAGAGCAAAUAGAAAUUUACCAGGUGUCGGACACACGCAUACCGUCCGCUUAUUCCGCAAUGUUCGGAUCUCAAUUCCACGGAGAUAAUCCUGAAAGCAUCUUUGAAGAGGAUAGGAGGGGAUUCCAUUAUCGAUGCAUACCGGCUCACCCAAUAAAACGUUGGUAGCUUACAGCCCUGGCUCGUCAUUCUGCACGUCCGUGGAUGGAACUCUUGGAGAAAAGCAAGAGAUGCUGCAGUUCACUCUCCCGCCCUCUCUCUCUCUCUCUCUCUCUCUCUCUCUCUCCCCGUGUUUCUCUCUUUUUCUCUGUCUCUCAUCCAGCACACUCUCUUUCUCGACUGACCAACAGCAACGGAAUAAAUAAAGUAAAUAGAGGAAUAUAGGAGGUAAAUAAAAAAUGUGGCAGCAGAUAGAGGG